This 302-nucleotide ribosomal RNA is filed under the name uncultured bacterium. RNAcentral's name for it is "bacterial SSU rRNA". It matches the Rfam family "Bacterial small subunit ribosomal RNA", at positions 28 to 334 of the family's 1533-position model. The record is from RNAcentral.
GAUGAACGCUGGCGGCGUGCCUAAUACAUGCAAGUCGAACGAAGGUAUUUAUACCUUAGUGGCGAACGGGUGAGUAACACGUAGGUAACCUGCCCUCAAGCCGAGGAUAACAGUUGGAAACGACUGCUAAUACUCGAUAGGUAAUUUCUUGGCAUCAAGAAAUUAUUAAAGAUCCGUAUGGAUUACUUGGGGAGGGACCUGCGCCGCAUUAGUUAGUUGGUGGGGUAAUGGCCUACCAAGACAAUGAUGCGUAGCCGGACUGAGAGGUUGAACGGCCACACUGGGACUGAGACACGGCCCAG